This 422-nucleotide long non-coding RNA is filed under the name Homo sapiens (human). RNAcentral describes it as "HSALNT0330914". The record is from RNAcentral. Lineage: Eukaryota; Metazoa; Chordata; Mammalia; Primates; Hominidae.
GGUGACAGUGUGGUGUCCCAGGGCCAGUUGCAGCUUAUGUGACCAGCAGCUACCCCUCCCUACAAGGGGCUUCCCUGGGCCCCUGGGCUGGAACAAACUGCCCAGAGGGCCGCUGAGUCAUCCAGCCCCUCCUCUCCUUUCCCUCCCAGAACUGAGGAUCAGAGAAUUCAGGGCUGGAAGGAAGGUCUUGGGGCCAAAGCCUUGGUCUUUCGAAGGUAGUUCUUGCAUGUGGAGUGGUGGAAUGGGGUCUGGAGUUUGGGCCACACUGAGAUGCCAUUUCUCUGAUCAUCAUACCUGAUGCACAAUCCAAGGAGACGGCCCAGGGUCAUCUCUUCUGCCUGAAUAGCUGAGAGGAGUCCUGCAAUCUUAGAGCCAUUUUCCCAAGAAACCUGACCUAGAACAUACUCUCUCUUAAGAUUCAA